AUGCCGGUGCCGCCGCCGGAUAUCCUCCAUGAUCUCGGCCAGCUCCUCUCCUCGGGAGAAGGGGCGGACGUGACGUUCGAGGUCGGCGGUGAGAUCUUCGCCGCACACAGGUGUGUCCUUGCCGCUCGUUCCUCCGUCUUCAGGGCGGAGCUUCUGGGUCCAAUGAAGGAGAGCACAUCAAUGUGCAUGCAGAUAGAGGACAUGGAGCCAAAAAUAUUUCAGGCAUUGCUUCAUUUUAUCUACACCGAUUCGGUGCCUGAGAUCGACGAUGCUGACGCAGUGGGGAUGGUCCAGCAUUUGCUUGUCGCCGCGGACAGGUACAGCCUCAAGAGACUGAAGUUGACCUGCGAAGACAAACUAUGCAGUUACAUCAACACUAGCACAGUGGCCACUACAGUGGCACUCGCCGAGCAACAUGCUUGUCCUGCACUCAAGGAGGAAUGCUUCAGAUUCCUCGAGUCCUGUAACAAUAGCAUGCUGGAUCUGAUCACACGGAGUUCUGACUUUGAGCAUCUAGCAAGAAGUUGCCCGUCUAUUAUGAAGGAGCUUAUUCCCAAACUUGCUCGCAAACCCCCUUGUGUAAAAAAAUAUAGCAACAUGUAA
Molecule: ribosomal RNA, 603 nt
Filed under: Triticum aestivum (bread wheat)
Lineage: Eukaryota; Viridiplantae; Streptophyta; Magnoliopsida; Poales; Poaceae
Description: partial small subunit ribosomal RNA
Source: RNAcentral